UACGUAGGGUGCAAGCGUUAUCCGGAAUUAUUGGGCGUAAAGAGCUCGUAGGCGGUUUGUCGCGUCUGCUGUGAAAACCCGAGGCUCAACCUCGGGCCUGCAGUGGGUACGGGCAGACUAGAGUGCGGUAGGGGAGAUUGGAAUUCCCGGUGUAGCGGUGAAAUGUGUAGAGAUCGGGAGGAACACCGGUGGCGAAGGCGGGUCUCUGGGCAUCUCCUGACGCUGAGGCGCGAAAGCGUGGGGAGCAAACGGG
Molecule: ribosomal RNA, 253 nt
Filed under: uncultured bacterium
Lineage: Bacteria
Description: partial 16S ribosomal RNA
Rfam family: Bacterial small subunit ribosomal RNA
Source: RNAcentral